CCCUUAGAUGUUCUGGGCUGCACGCGCGCUACACUGAUGCGUUCAACGAGUUUAUGACCUUGCCCGAUAGGGUUGGGUAAUCUUUUUAAAUCGCAUCGUGAUGGGGAUAGAUUAUUGCAAUUAUUAAUCUUCAACGAGGAAUUCCUAGUAAGCGCGAGUCAUCAGCUCGUGCUGAUUACGUCCCUGCCCUUUGUACACACCGCCCGUCGCUCCUACCGAUUUCGAGUGGUUCGGUGAACCUUUCGGACCGGCAAUGCCUCGUGUUGCGCCGGAAAGUCAAGUAAACCAUAUCACUUAGAGGAAGGAGAAGUCGUANCA
This 318-nucleotide ribosomal RNA is filed under the name uncultured eukaryote. RNAcentral's name for it is "partial 18S ribosomal RNA". It matches the Rfam family "Eukaryotic small subunit ribosomal RNA", at positions 1470 to 1796 of the family's 1831-position model. The record is from RNAcentral.